Molecule: small nuclear RNA, 89 nt
Filed under: Myotis lucifugus (little brown bat)
Lineage: Eukaryota; Metazoa; Chordata; Mammalia; Chiroptera; Vespertilionidae
Description: U2 spliceosomal RNA (ENSMLUG00000026073.1)
Rfam family: U2 spliceosomal RNA
About the family: U2 is a small nuclear RNA (snRNA) component of the spliceosome (involved in pre-mRNA splicing). Complementary binding between U2 snRNA (in an area lying towards the 5' end but 3' to hairpin I) and the branchpoint sequence (BPS) of the intron results the bulging out of an unpaired adenosine, on the BPS, which initiates a nucleophilic attack at the intronic 5' splice site, thus starting the first of two transesterification reactions that mediate splicing.
Source: RNAcentral
AUCGCUUCUCAGCCUUUUGGCUAUACUAAGAUCAAGUAUAGUAUCUGUUCUUAUCAGUUUAAUAUCUGAUACAAAUACCAAAAAGGAAA